Molecule: ribosomal RNA, 112 nt
Filed under: Caerostris darwini
Lineage: Eukaryota; Metazoa; Arthropoda; Arachnida; Araneae; Araneidae
Source: RNAcentral
GACGGCCAUACCAUGCUGAAUAUACCGGUUCUCGUUAGAUCACCGAAGUCAAGCAUCAUUGGGCGCGGUCAGUACUUGGGUGGGGGACCACCUGGGAACACUGUGUGCCGUU